GUCCUUCUCAUCACGAGGUGUGUUUUGGUGGAAUGACGUCCUUCUCAUCACGAGGUGUGUUUUGAUGGAAUGACGUCCUUCUCAUCACGAGGUGUGUUUGGAUGGAAUGACGUCCUUCUCAUCACGAGGUGUGUUUCUAAUGUAAUUUCCAGUAAAAAGAGUGACAACGUAGCCUGUGUAGCCGGAUUCUAUUUCUUUGUGUGUAACAGUCAGUUUAGCUUAUGAAACAUUUGCUUAGUAACCGGACACCAAUGUGAUCUGUGAUAGACGUACUAUAUUUGCAUAACCCUUGUGAUAAGGAUAUAUGUGAGGGUUUUUGAAUCAGGAUAAAUCCUCUUAUCUUUUCGAGCUCAUUAAUGAUAGAAUGUUCAUACGUGACCCGAUUCAAGAAGCUAGUGUAACGGCUGUCUGUAAGAGGGAACCAAAGUGCAGCAGAGGAUGUGUUCAUCAUUAGAAUUUUAAUUCAAAUAAACAA
Salmo salar (Atlantic salmon) is the source of this 475-nucleotide non-coding RNA. The record is from RefSeq and is a predicted model, not a curated record. Lineage: Eukaryota; Metazoa; Chordata; Actinopteri; Salmoniformes; Salmonidae.